CCGUACAGCAGAGAUGCCCUAGGGCUGUUGCUGACCUUUGCAGGUCGUGCACGCCCGAAGUGCUCUCUCUCACAUCCAUCUCACCCCUUUGUGCAUCACCGCGUGGGCCGCCCCCUAUCGGGAUCGGUUCACGUUUUUACAUAGACACCUUUCUUUUAAUGCAUGUGUAGAAUGUCUUCCUUUUUUUUUUGCGAUCACACGCAAUCAAUA
This 210-nucleotide unclassified non-coding RNA is filed under the name uncultured Russula. Its description in RNAcentral is "sequence contains ITS1". Lineage: Eukaryota; Fungi; Basidiomycota; Agaricomycetes; Russulales; Russulaceae. The record is from RNAcentral.